Molecule: ribosomal RNA, 253 nt
Filed under: uncultured bacterium
Lineage: Bacteria
Description: partial 16S ribosomal RNA
Rfam family: Bacterial small subunit ribosomal RNA
Source: RNAcentral
UACGAAGGGGGCUAGCGUUGUUCGGAAUUACUGGGCGUAAAGAGCUCGUAGGCGGCUUGUCGCGUCGACUGUGAAAACCCGUGGCUCAACCCCGGAACUGCAUCCGAUACUGCGUGGCUAGAGGUAGGUAGGGGAGAUCGGAAUUCCUGGUGUAGCGGUGAAAUGCGCAGAUAUCAGGAGGAACACCGGUGGCGAAGGCGGAUCUCUGGGCCUUACCUGACGCUCAGGCACGAAAGCUAGGGGAGCGAACAGG